GACGAGCGCUGGCGGCGUGCUUAACACAUGCAAGUCGAGCGGUAAGGCCCUUUCGGGGGUACACGAGCGGCGAACGGGUGAGUAACACGUGGGUGACCUGCCUUUAGCUCUGGGAUAAGCCUGGGAAACUGGGUCUAAUACCGGAUAUGACUCCGCGGUGCAUGCUGUGGGGUGGAAAGCCUUGUGCGGCUGGAGAUGGGCCCGCGGCCUAUCAGCUUGUUGGUGGGGUGAUGGCCUACCAAGGCGA
This 247-nucleotide ribosomal RNA is filed under the name uncultured Actinomycetes bacterium. RNAcentral describes it as "uncultured actinobacterium partial 16S ribosomal RNA". It matches the Rfam family "Bacterial small subunit ribosomal RNA", at positions 28 to 276 of the family's 1533-position model. Lineage: Bacteria; Bacillati; Actinomycetota; Actinomycetes. The record is from RNAcentral.